This 329-nucleotide unclassified non-coding RNA is filed under the name soil metagenome. RNAcentral describes it as "partial contains 5.8S ribosomal RNA, internal transcribed spacer 2, and large subunit ribosomal RNA". The stretch from base 1 to 120 matches the Rfam family "5.8S ribosomal RNA", at positions 35 to 154 of the family's 154-position model. The record is from RNAcentral.
GAUGAAGAACGUAGCGAAAUGCGAUAAGUAAUGUGAAUUGCAGAAUUCAGUGAAUCAUCGAAUCUUUGAACGCACAUUGCGCCCCCUGGUAUUCCGGGGGGCAUGCCUGUCCGAGCGUCAUUACAACCCUCAAGCUCAGCUUGGUGUUGGGCCCCGCCGCCCCGGCGGGCCCUAAAGUCAGUGGCGGUGCCGUCCGGCUCCGAGCGUAGUAAUUCUUCUCGCUCUGGAGGUCCGGUCGUGUGCUCGCCAGCAACCCCCAAUUUUUUUCAGGUUGACCUCGGACCAGGUAGGGAUACCCGCUGAACUUAAGCAUAUCAAUAAGCGGAGGA